AUGUAAGUAGUUUAAUUAAAACAUUGGCUUGUGGAGCCAAGAAUAUAUUUAUAGUAUCUUAUAUA
Molecule: transfer RNA, 65 nt
Filed under: Hycleus cichorii
Lineage: Eukaryota; Metazoa; Arthropoda; Insecta; Coleoptera; Meloidae
Description: tRNA-His
Rfam family: tRNA
About the family: Transfer RNA (tRNA) molecules are approximately 80 nucleotides in length. Their secondary structure includes four short double-helical elements and three loops (D, anti-codon, and T loops).
Source: RNAcentral